RNAcentral lists this ribosomal RNA (312 nucleotides) under Pseudomonas gessardii. Its description in RNAcentral is "bacterial SSU rRNA". It matches the Rfam family "Bacterial small subunit ribosomal RNA", at positions 1121 to 1432 of the family's 1533-position model. The record is from RNAcentral. Lineage: Bacteria; Pseudomonadati; Pseudomonadota; Gammaproteobacteria; Pseudomonadales; Pseudomonadaceae.
GCACGUUAUGGUGGGCACUCUAAGGAGACUGCCGGUGACAAACCGGAGGAAGGUGGGGAUGACGUCAAGUCAUCAUGGCCCUUACGGCCUGGGCUACACACGUGCUACAAUGGUCGGUACAGAGGGUUGCCAAGCCGCGAGGUGGAGCUAAUCCCACAAAACCGAUCGUAGUCCGGAUCGCAGUCUGCAACUCGACUGCGUGAAGUCGGAAUCGCUAGUAAUCGCGAAUCAGAAUGUCGCGGUGAAUACGUUCCCGGGCCUUGUACACACCGCCCGUCACACCAUGGGAGUGGGUUGCACCAGAAGUAGCUA